GCUCCGGUGGCCUAGUGGUUAGAGCGUCCACCUCGCAUGCGGGAGGUGUUGGGUUAAAUCCCCUGUCGAGUCA
Potamilus streckersoni is the source of this 73-nucleotide non-coding RNA. NCBI's taxonomy places the organism in Eukaryota, Metazoa, Mollusca, Bivalvia, Unionida, Unionidae. The record is from the annotation of a GenBank genome assembly.